RNAcentral lists this long non-coding RNA (1222 nucleotides) under Varroa destructor (honeybee mite). RNAcentral describes it as "uncharacterized LOC111252007, transcript variant X2". The record is from RNAcentral. Lineage: Eukaryota; Metazoa; Arthropoda; Arachnida; Mesostigmata; Varroidae.
GUCAGGGAACCUUGUCGCUAAAAGAUUAACAGCCGACUAUAUCCAAAAAAGGACGAAGCAGGAUUCUGUGCCCUACAUGUCGAUACGUCAGACGCGGUAUUAAUAAUAUCGUUGCUCAUGUAUGCCUCUGAGUUGUAUCCGUCUUUGAAUAACGCAAAGGUCGUCUCAUUCCGCUCGGCGGAAACGAAAACCAACAAAUCCUCAGAACUCAUAGUCAGUUCUAUUCGAGCGAACGAUGCGUCUCCCGUGAGUAUCGGAGCCGGUCGAACUGGACAAAUGAAGACCCUGGCAUCGUUGUUGACUUCAGCGUUACCCCAGCUUGCUGAGGAUAUUUGUGGACGAACAGGUGGCGAGCAGUGUAAUUCGAUUAUAGGAAGAUUUUCGUCUGCCUUCUACUCGCUGCUUUCUCAGUUUGACCUGAGCCUUAAGACGGUCGAUAUUAACUGUAAUGAUAAUAAAUAUCUAUCUUCAACUGGGAAAAUCAUUCUAUACAGGAUGUUGCCCUCAUAUGUAAGAAGAAAAAUAAUGAAGAGCCGAGAUUAAUAUAUAUAUAUAAUAAACAUGUUACCAUUUUUUCGGUCCACAAAAGAUUAUUGAACAAGAACUGUAACUAAAAUUAAAAGCUUCUUUACAUUUUCGAGCCUUAGAAAGCACAGUAUUCACACAACGUGAUGUUAGUAGUUUGAGAAAUUCAGAGGGAAGCUUCCAUAUGUAACAGACAGAGAAUUCUACACACCAACUACAUAAAUCAGCAAAUAGAAUACAUAGAGGGUUAUGCUAAGAAAACAUUUGUCCCCCAUAAUUGGUGCAUUGUCACUAUAAAAAGGUAUAGCAUGCGCUAUAACGCCCACACAAAUGCGCAAGGUCACAUAGACAGUUAGAAAUAAGGCGUUUAUUCUAACAGGCGGAUAAAGUAACUGUUAGUUGAAGCACUCAAAACGCAACCUUUGUGCUGAAUGGAAAAACAAAGGGACCGCAAUUCAACCGUUCAAAAAUUUCCGCCACUUUCUUGUCGCUUAGCUUCCAGCAGCAGAGCAGAACAGCAUGAUAUCAAAUGAGCCGAAGGUAUACACAAGGAUUUUGUUAUAAUACGAGGUGUCCCAUCGCAUUUAGCCCUCAAAAGGCGUUUUACAGCUCCAGUCGUACACUAACAUGUCUACGAAAUCAGAGUCUGAAUUUACAAUCUAGGCAAAACGUAGGGGCGCAUACCGGCAAAAAGCAA